GCUGGGUGUAGUGGUGCAGGCCUGUAAUCCCAGUGGCUCAGGAGGCUGAGGCAGGAGGAUCACGAGUUCAAAGCCAGCCUCAGCAAAAGCGAGGUGCUAAGCAACUCAAUGAGACCCUGUCUCUA
This 125-nucleotide small RNA is filed under the name Marmota monax (woodchuck). Lineage: Eukaryota; Metazoa; Chordata; Mammalia; Rodentia; Sciuridae. The record is from RNAcentral.